AACGAACGCUGGCGGCAUGCCUAACACAUGCAAGUCGAACGAGAUCUUCGGGUCUAGUGGCGCACGGGUGCGUAACGCGUGGGAAUCUGCCCUUUGGUUCGGAAUAACAGUUGGAAACGACUGCUAAUACCGGAUGAUGACGAAAGUCCAAAGAUUUAUCGCCAGAGGAUGAGCCCGCGUAGGAUUAGCUAGUUGGUGUGGUAAAGGCGCACCAAGGCGACGAUCCUUAGCUGGUCUGAGAGGAUGAUCAGCCACACUGGGACUGAGACACGGCCCAGACUCCUACGGGAGGCAUCAGUGGGGAAUAUUGGACAAUGGGCGAAAGCCUGAUCCAGCAAUGCCGCGUAAGUGUUGAAGGCCUUAGGGUUGUAAAGCUCUUUUACCCGGGAUGAUAAUGACAGUACCGGGAGAAUAAGCUCCGGCUAACUCCGUGCCAGCAGCCGCCGUAA
Molecule: ribosomal RNA, 449 nt
Filed under: uncultured bacterium
Lineage: Bacteria
Description: partial 16S ribosomal RNA
Rfam family: Bacterial small subunit ribosomal RNA
Source: RNAcentral